CCUACGGGGGGCAGCAGUGGGGAAUAUUGGACAAUGGGGGCAACCCUGAUCCAGCCAUGCCGCGUGUGUGAAGAAGGCCCUCGGGUUGUAAAGCACUUUCAGUGAGGAAGAACGCCUGGUGGUUAAUACCCAUCAGGAAAGACAUCACUCACAGAAGAAGCACCGGCUAACUCCGUGCCAGCAGCCGCGGUAAUACGGAGGGUGCGAGCGUUAAUCGGAAUUACUGGGCGUAAAGCGCGCGUAGGUGGCUUGAUAAGCCGGUUGUGAAAGCCACGGGCUCAACCUGGGAACGGCAUCCGGAACUGUCAAGCUAGAGUGCAGGAGAGGAAGGUAGAAUUCCCGGUGUAGCGGUGAAAUGCGUAGAGAUCGGGAGGAAUACCAGUGGCGAAGGCGGCCUUCUGGACUGACACUGACACUGAGGUGCGAAAGCGUGGGUAGCAAACAGGAUUAGAUACCCCUGUAGUC
Molecule: ribosomal RNA, 465 nt
Filed under: Vreelandella stevensii
Lineage: Bacteria; Pseudomonadati; Pseudomonadota; Gammaproteobacteria; Oceanospirillales; Halomonadaceae
Description: partial 16S ribosomal RNA
Rfam family: Bacterial small subunit ribosomal RNA
Source: RNAcentral